Molecule: ribosomal RNA, 863 nt
Filed under: Paracymostachys euphorbiae
Lineage: Eukaryota; Fungi; Ascomycota; Sordariomycetes; Hypocreales; Stachybotryaceae
Description: partial large subunit ribosomal RNA
Rfam family: Eukaryotic large subunit ribosomal RNA
Source: RNAcentral
AAACCAACAGGGAUUGCCUCAGUAACGGCGAGUGAAGCGGCAACAGCUCAAAUUUGAAAUCUGGCCCCAGGCCCGAGUUGUAAUUUGCAGAGGAUGCUUUUGGCGCGGUGCCUUCCGAGUUCCCUGGAACGGGACGCCAUAGAGGGUGAGAGCCCCGUCUGGUCGGACACCAAGCCUCUGUAAAGCUCCUUCGACGAGUCGAGUAGUUUGGGAAUGCUGCUCAAAAUGGGAGGUAUAUGUCUUCUAAAGCUAAAUACCGGCCAGAGACCGAUAGCGCACAAGUAGAGUGAUCGAAAGAUGAAAAGCACUUUGAAAAGAGAGUUAAACAGCACGUGAAAUUGUUAAAAGGGAAGCGUUUAUGACCAGACUUGGCCCGGCGAAUCAUCCAGCGUUCUCGCUGGUGCACUUCGCCGGAUCCAGGCCAGCAUCAGUUCGCCGCGGGGGAUAAAGGCGUCGGGAAUGUGGCUCCUCGGAGUGUUAUAGCCCCUCGCGCAAUACCCUGCGGUGGACUGAGGUUCGCGCACUGCAAGGAUGCUGGCGUAAUGGUCAUCAACGACCCGUCUUGAAACACGGACCAAGGAGUCGUCUUCGUAUGCGAGUGUUCGGGUGUCAAACCCCUACGCGUAAUGAAAGUGAACGCAGGUGAGAGCUUCGGCGCAUCAUCGACCGAUCCUGAUGUUCUCGGAUGGAUUUGAGUAAGAGCAUACGGGGCCGGACCCGAAAGAAGGUGAACUAUGCCUGUAUAGGGUGAAGCCAGAGGAAACUCUGGUGGAGGCUCGCAGCGGUUCUGACGUGCAAAUCGAUCGUCAAAUAUGGGCAUGGGGGCGAAAGACUAAUCGAACCUUCUAGUAGCUGGUUUCCGC